AGAGAGAGACAUGCGCGCAUAUCAAUAAGCGGAGGAAAAGAAACUAACAAGGAUUCCCCUAGUAACGGCGAGUGAAGCGGGAAGAGCUCAAAUUUGAAAUCUUAAAGGGUUUCCCUUUACGAAUUGUAGUUUAAAGAAGUGUUUUCUGUUGAGGUUUUGGUAAAAGUUCUUUGGAAUAGGACAUCAUAGAGGGUGAGAAUCCCGUAUUUGACCAUUACUUUCCACUUUGUGAUACACUUUCAAAGAGUCGGAUUGUUUGGGAAUGCAGUCCAAAAUGGGUGGUAAAUUUCAUCUAAAGCUAAAUAUUGGCGAGAGACCGAUAGCGAACAAGUACCGUGAGGGAAAGAUGAAAAGAACUUUGAAAAGAGAGUUAAACAGUACGUGAAAUUGUCAAAAGGGAAGCGUUUGACACCAGUGUUGUUUUCUCGAAAAUCAAUUAAAAAGAGUUAGAUUUUGUGUUGUAUUGACCUUAAUCAGCUUCUGCACUUCACUUUUCUUGUCUUUUUUUAAUGCACUUUUCGUUUAACAAGUCAACAUCAGUUUCUUUUGUUGUAAAAGGGUCAUUGGAAGGUGGCUUUCUUUUCGGAGAAAGUGUUUAUAGCCUUUGCCUCUGCAAUCGGAGAGAUUGAGGUCUGCAGCGUAGAUCCUUCGGGGUUAGAUACAUUUGUGCUAAGUUAUAGCCUUUUCAUAGACAACUUGUUGACUAUGAUCAGUCAUGUAGCUUACUCGCUUAUGCUAUUUUACCUACGCUUAGGAUGUUGAUGUGAUACUGCGAGCA
This 778-nucleotide ribosomal RNA is filed under the name uncultured Neocallimastigales. Its description in RNAcentral is "partial large subunit ribosomal RNA". It matches the Rfam family "Eukaryotic large subunit ribosomal RNA", at positions 23 to 646 of the family's 3401-position model. The record is from RNAcentral. Lineage: Eukaryota; Fungi; Neocallimastigomycota; Neocallimastigomycetes; Neocallimastigales.